UUACCUUUCCAGCCCAGUAACUUUUAGGAAGCAUUACACUGUGGCAGUCUACUACAGUAGAGUAAAAUACCAUUUAUUAGCACCUCCAAGCCAGGACCUAGAGCCCUGCCAUUACAUAUAUACUUGAACUAUUUCAAGCAUAAAGUCAGUAAACACUAAUCCCUGUUAAUAGUUUAUAGCAUACCAAGAAUUUAAUUAAUCUUUAAAACUACCCUUGUAUAAUUAACCGUUUCAACAGCAGUUGCCCAAGUAUGAAACCACUGUUUUACUUUCAGAUUUCUUUUCCAUAAUCCAGUUUUUAGUCUUCAAUCAGAAUGGACAUACAGAUUUAUAGGUGGUCUUUAAUGCUCUGAUAGGAGUAUUUGAAACAUGAAUUAUAUUCUUUGAACUGUUUUGUACUGAUGGGAUGGGUUAACAUUUUUAUGACGAGAAUAAGCAAAAAUGAAAAAUUUCAAGUGCUGUUUUUUAUUAUUGUGCUUAAACUUUAAAAUGUGAUUCUCUUAAAUACCAACCCUGGUUUCAUUCAACAAAUAAACCAUGAUUUUUAGUCCCAAUUUAAAUUCUUCACCACUCAUGUUAUUGCCAUUGAUUUGGGUCUUUUGCAGGCAGGCUUUUUCUAAGAAAAUACUGAAACUUGCUCCAUUUUGUUUUGACUUGUAUCUAAAAACCAUAAUCUAAUUUUGGAUUUCAUGUAAUAGAACUGUGUAUUUUGUGCACUUUGUGUACUGUUACACCCUCAUCUAGUAGUAACCUAAUGCUAUCAUGGUGCCAAGGAAUUGUGAUUGUUAAUUCUCAUAUUCACACUUCUCUAAAAUGUGAAUUUUAUAUGACAAAUAAAACACCUGAAAAAUU
This 852-nucleotide long non-coding RNA is filed under the name Bos taurus (domestic cattle). RNAcentral's name for it is "long non-coding RNA NONBTAT017087". Lineage: Eukaryota; Metazoa; Chordata; Mammalia; Artiodactyla; Bovidae. The record is from RNAcentral.